GACGAACGCUGGCGGCGUGCUUAACACAUGCAAGUCGAACGGAAAGGCCCUGCUUUUGUGGGGUGCUCGAGUGGCGAACGGGUGAGUAACACGUGAGUAACCUGCCCUUGACUUUGGGAUAACUUCAGGAAACUGGGGCUAAUACCGGAUAGGAGCUCCUGCUGCAUGGUGGGGGUUGGAAAGUUUCGGCGGUUGGGGAUGGACUCGCGGCUUAUCAGCUUGUUGGUGGGGUAGUGGCUUACCAAGGCUUUGACGGGUAGCCGGCCUGAGAGGGUGACCGGCACCAUGGGGACGGGAAAACGGCCCGAAUCCCACGGGGGGCCAGCGGUGGGGAAAUUUGCACAAGGGGCGGAAGCCUGAUGCAGCAACGCCGGGUGGGGGAGGACGGCCUUCGGGUUGUAAACCCCUUUCCCCUGGGACGAAGCGGGGGUGACGGAAAUGGGUAAAAAAGCACCGGCUAACUACGG
RNAcentral lists this ribosomal RNA (467 nucleotides) under uncultured bacterium. RNAcentral describes it as "partial 16S ribosomal RNA". It matches the Rfam family "Bacterial small subunit ribosomal RNA", at positions 28 to 506 of the family's 1533-position model. The record is from RNAcentral.